RNAcentral lists this transfer RNA (62 nucleotides) under Neotoma lepida (desert woodrat). It matches the Rfam family "tRNA", at positions 6 to 65 of the family's 71-position model. Rfam says of the family: Transfer RNA (tRNA) molecules are approximately 80 nucleotides in length. Their secondary structure includes four short double-helical elements and three loops (D, anti-codon, and T loops). Lineage: Eukaryota; Metazoa; Chordata; Mammalia; Rodentia; Cricetidae. The record is from Rfam by way of RNAcentral.
UGUAAUUCAGUUGGUAGAAGGCUUGCCUAGCAUGCAUGAAGUCCUGGGUUCAAGCCCCAGCA